UAACGCGUGGAUAACCUGCCUCACACUGGGGGAUAACAGUUAGAAAUGACUGCUAAUACCGCAUAAGCGCACAGCACCGCAUGGUACAGUGUGAAAAACUCCGGUGGUGUGAGAUGGAUCCGCGUCUGAUUAGCCAGUUGGCGGGGUAACGGCCCACCAAAGCGACGAUCAGUAGCCGACCUGAGAGGGUGACCGGCCACAUUGGGACUGAGGCACGGCCCAA
This 223-nucleotide ribosomal RNA is filed under the name uncultured bacterium. RNAcentral describes it as "partial 16S ribosomal RNA". It matches the Rfam family "Bacterial small subunit ribosomal RNA", at positions 111 to 334 of the family's 1533-position model. The record is from RNAcentral.